This 460-nucleotide ribosomal RNA is filed under the name uncultured Prevotella sp. RNAcentral describes it as "bacterial SSU rRNA". It matches the Rfam family "Bacterial small subunit ribosomal RNA", at positions 338 to 795 of the family's 1533-position model. The record is from RNAcentral. Lineage: Bacteria; Pseudomonadati; Bacteroidota; Bacteroidia; Bacteroidales; Prevotellaceae.
CCUACGGGGGGCAGCAGUGAGGAAUAUUGGUCAAUGGGCGAGAGCCUGAACCAGCCAAGUAGCGUGCAGGAAGACGGCCCUAUGGGUUGUAAACUGCUUUUAUGCGGGGAUAAAGUGAAGGACGUGUCUUUCAUUGCAGGUACCGCAUGAAUAAGGACCGGCUAAUUCCGUGCCAGCAGCCGCGGUAAUACGGAAGGUCCGGGCGUUAUCCGGAUUUAUUGGGUUUAAAGGGAGCGUAGGCCGUGGAUUAAGCGUGUUGUGAAAUGCAGGUGCUCAACGUCUGCACUGCAGCGCGAACUGGUCCACUUGAGUGUGCGCAACGCAGGCGGAAUUCGUCGUGUAGCGGUGAAAUGCUUAGAUAUGACGAAGAACUCCGAUUGCGAAGGCAGCUUGCGGGAGCACAACUGACGCUGAAGCUCGAAAGCGUGGGGAGCAAACAGGAUUAGAUACCCUAGUAGUC